GAUGAACGCUAGCUACAGGCUUAACACAUGCAAGUCGUGGGGCAUCAUGAUGUAGUAAUACAUUGAUGGCGACCGGCGCACGGGUGAGUAACGCGUAUCCAACCUACCCUCCACUCAAGUAUAGGCUUCCGAAAGGGAGAUUAAUCCUUGAUAUCGUCAUUCUCUCUCCUGUUAGAAUGAUAAAAGGACAUCGUUUCGGUAGAGGAUGGGGAUGCGUUCCAUUAGGUAGUAGGUGGUUUAACAGGCCACCUAGCCGAUGAUGGAUAGGGGUUCUGAGAGGAAUGUCCCCCCCACUGGUACUGAGAUACGGACCAGACUCCUACGGGAGGCAGCAGUGAGGAAUAUUGGUCAAUGGGCGCAAGCCUGAACCAGCCAUGUAGCGUGAAGGAUGACGGUUUUUUUGAUUGUAAACUUCUUUUC
This 420-nucleotide ribosomal RNA is filed under the name Bacteroidetes bacterium oral taxon 272. RNAcentral's name for it is "bacterial SSU rRNA". It matches the Rfam family "Bacterial small subunit ribosomal RNA", at positions 28 to 438 of the family's 1533-position model. Lineage: Bacteria; Pseudomonadati; Bacteroidota. The record is from RNAcentral.